This is a non-coding RNA of Oncorhynchus mykiss (rainbow trout), 1300 nucleotides long. NCBI's taxonomy places the organism in Eukaryota, Metazoa, Chordata, Actinopteri, Salmoniformes, Salmonidae. The record is from RefSeq and is a predicted model, not a curated record.
UUCCCGCGGCUAUGCGUGCUGGACGGUGCCUGAACCCGCCUUGUUGGUUCUUGACUGGGGUUAGCUAGCUAGAAUUAGAGCCUUCUGGCUAGCCUGUAAUUUAUGGUUGUAAUUACGUUGUGUAACAGCAAAAUGUCUAUGUACUUGUCAUUUGGUUGUAACUAACGUUUGUUUAAAUUGGCUAGCUAAUGUUUUGAAGAGAACAGGCUAGCGCCCUGUAGAAUCUAGACCAGAGUGGAUGCCCAGAUGUGAGGCUGAUGCAGUGCCCAGAUGAGAUGAGAGCAAUCUUCUACAGAAUCUGCCAAACACAACUCUGUCUCUGACAGCUUCUCCCUGUGCUGACCACCGAUGGAUCUUACACAUGAGAGCUGCCGUUGAUGGACUCCUGGUCAAGCAACACAGGGAGAAAGACAUCCUGAAGCGGGUGGAUGGGACAUACAGCUCUACCACCAGUGUCAUGACUGUGUCAUUAGCUGCCACAGCUAAACUAAUUUACUCAUGUUUAUUGCACCAUAUAGUAUGUUUUUUUUUAUCCAUACAAGAUCUAGGGCAACUCUGCCUCAGAGUGGUUGGCUAAGCUCCUUCCUGGUUGGCCCUGUCCGUUGAACAGCACCAGUGUCUCACAACCCCUCUGUCUCAGUCACCAGUAAUUAUGCUGCAAUAGUUUGUACCGGGGGCUAGGGUCAGCUUUUCUUAUCUGGUGUACUGUGUGUUCUUAGGCAUACUCUCACUAAUCCCCUCCAUUUGUCAACAACAGCUUCAACACAUCAUAGCAACAUGCUUGACUGAAAAUCUUUAAACAUGUUUAUAGACUUCAGUGGAGGCUGCUGAGGGGAGGACGGCUCAUAAUAAUGUCUGGAAUGGAGUCAAUGGAAUGGUAUCAAAUGUGAUUUCCAUGUGGUUGAUACCAUUCCAUUGAAUCCAUUACUGUGAGCCAUCCUCCCCUCAGCAGCCUCCACUGAUAGACUUUAUGGAGGUGAUGCUGUUGCCCAUCAAAUUUCAUAUGUUAUGCCAAUAUGUCAAAGUUCUCAAUUAGGAAGAUGAUGUUCAGAAUGACAUGUUCAUGACUGUUGAUGUUCACAGGACUCUCCAAUGCUAUGUUGAACGAGCACCACAGAUGAAAGCAGAUAGCUUCUCUCUACCACACCUUCACCAAGUCAUCCAAUUUUUGCUUCAUUUUCUAAAAUAAUUACAGAAUUCAUUUUGUUUCUAAUAGUUUUUUUUAUGCUAGAUGUGAGUUUAUUUAGCAGGUCUAUAAUGUAUUGUUUUGGAAUGUUAUUAAAUAUAUACUCAGUCACAA